Molecule: non-coding RNA, 22 nt
Filed under: Rattus norvegicus (Norway rat)
Lineage: Eukaryota; Metazoa; Chordata; Mammalia; Rodentia; Muridae
Source: RNAcentral
UUGGUACUUCUUUAAGUGAGAU